Molecule: ribosomal RNA, 503 nt
Filed under: uncultured bacterium
Lineage: Bacteria
Description: partial 16S ribosomal RNA
Rfam family: Bacterial small subunit ribosomal RNA
Source: RNAcentral
GACGAACGCUGGCGGCGUGCUUAACACAUGCAAGUCGAACGGUGAAGCGCUUUCCUUUUUGGUUGGUGUGGAUGAGUGGCGAACGGGUGAGUAACACGUGAGUAACCUGCCCCCUUCUUCUGGAUAACCGCAUGAAAGUGUGGCUAAUACGGGAUAUUCUGCGCCUGCUGCAUGGUGGGUGUGGGAAAGAUUGUGCCUUUGGGUGUUUUCGGUGGGGGAUGGGCUCGCGGCCUAUCAGCUUGUUGGUGGGGUGAUGGCCUACCAAGGCGGUGACGGGUAGCCGGCCUGAGAGGGUGGACGGUCACACUGGGACUGAGACACGGCCCAGACUCCUACGGGAGGCAGCAGUGGGGAAUAUUGCACAAUGGGCGCAAGCCUGAUGCAGCGACGCCGCGUGAGGGAUGGAGGCCUUCGGGUUGUGAACCUCUUUCGCAAGUGAAGCAGGCCUGCUCCUUGUGGGUGGGUUGACGGUAGCUGGAUAAGAAGCGCCGGCUAACUACGUG